Long non-coding RNA from Melanotaenia boesemani (Boeseman's rainbowfish), 292 nucleotides. RefSeq lists it as uncharacterized. NCBI's taxonomy places the organism in Eukaryota, Metazoa, Chordata, Actinopteri, Atheriniformes, Melanotaeniidae. The record is from RefSeq and is a predicted model, not a curated record. The transcript is spliced from 3 exons.
CUAUGAUCUGGAGUUGCUGCAGUUGGUCAGGUCUGGGAUCAGUUCUAAGAUUAGGUCUAGGAUCAGGUCUAGGUUCAGGGCUAGGUUCUGGCCUAGGAUCUGGUCUAGGAUCAGGUCUAGGUUCUGGUCUAGGUUCAGGUUUAGGUUCAGGCCUAGGAUCAGGCCUAGGUUCUGCUCUAGGGUCAGGUCUAGAUUAUGGUCUAGGAUCAGUUCUAAGAUUAGGUCUAGGAUCAGGUCUAGGUUCAGGGCUAGGUUCUGGCCUAGGAUCUGGUCUGGGUUCUGGUCUAGGUUC